Molecule: ribosomal RNA, 512 nt
Filed under: uncultured bacterium
Lineage: Bacteria
Description: partial 16S ribosomal RNA
Rfam family: Bacterial small subunit ribosomal RNA
Source: RNAcentral
GACGAACGCUGGCGGCGUGCCUAAUACAUGCAAGUCGAGCGGAACUGGGGGAGCUUGCUCCUUCCAGUUUAGCGGCGGACGGGUGAGUAACACGUGGGCAACCUGCCCUGCAGAUCGGGGUAACUCCGGGAAACCGGUGCUAAUACCGAAUAGUUUGGCGCCUCUCCUGAGGCGCCACGGAAAGACGGUUUCGGCUGUCACUGCAGGAUGGGCCCGCGGCGCAUUAGCUAGUUGGUGGGGUAACGGCCCACCAAGGCGACGAUGCGUAGCCGACCUGAGAGGGUGACCGGCCACACUGGGACUGAGACACGGCCCAGACUCCUACGGGAGGCAGCAGUAGGGAAUCUUCCGCAAUGGACGCAAGUCUGACGGCACAACGCCGCGUGAGUGACGAAGGUUUUCGGAUCGUAAAACUCUGUUGUGAGGGAAGAACACGUACCAACUAACUAUUGGUACCUUGACGGUACCUCACCAGAAAGCCACGGCUAACUACGUGCCAGCCGCCGCCGUAA